Molecule: small RNA, 334 nt
Filed under: Histoplasma capsulatum
Lineage: Eukaryota; Fungi; Ascomycota; Eurotiomycetes; Onygenales; Ajellomycetaceae
Also listed under: 1 other name
Description: hypothetical RNA
Source: RNAcentral
CCAAGUCAACAGUGAUAUCCCAACAUCCAACUAGUUAGAAGGGUUUGGAUUGGUUCGCCCCCUAGACUACCUACAUGGCGCUGGUGGGGAACGAGCUCUUUUGCCCCAGUAGCCUAGAAUAAUAUAAUCAUGAAAUCUGAGACUACUGUAGUGGAGAAAUCGUGCCUUAACCCUUCCAGUCCUCUGCUUUUCCUGCGUUAUCGUGUUCUUACCAUCUCCUUGACCCCGGCCUCGAGACCAAUGCCUGUAUAGCAAGUCAAGUUCCCUUCGGCGUGCAUAUGCUUAAUGAGGAUUAGCCUUCAAUAAAUGACACACAAGUAUCGUUCCCUCAUCU